GUGAGCCUGAGGAGGCAGCAGCAGCAGCUGAGAACUGCACUUGGACCUGUGCUGUGGGACCAGAUUCAUCAACGUUGGCAGGUUGCUAUGACCCAACCACAAAUGGCUCCCAUUUGUCUUGUGGAAAACCACAAUGAACAGCUGUUGGUGAACCAGGAAGCCAUAGAGAUUCUGGACAAGAUUUCUCAGCCAGUGGUAGUCGUGGCUAUUGUUGGAUUGUACCGUACAGGGAAGUCCUAUUUGAUGAACCGUCUGGCGGGACAGAAUCAUGGCUUCCCUCUGGGCUCCACUGUGCAAUCUCAGACCAAGGGCAUCUGGAUGUGGUGCGUGCCACACCCCACCAAGCCAGAGCACACCCUGGUCCUCCUGGACACUGAGGGCCUGGGGGAUGUGGAAAAGGGUGAUCCUAAGAACGACUUGUGGAUCUUUGCCCUCAGCGUGCUUCUGAGCAGCACCUUCAUCUACAACAGCAUGAACACCAUCAGCCAUGAUUCCCUGGAGAAGCUGCAUUAUGUCACAGAACUCACUGAGCUGAUCAGAGCAAAAUCUUCCCCAAAUCCCCAUGGAAUAAAGAAUUCCACAGAGUUUGUGAGUUUCUUUCCAGACUUUGUCUGGACUGUUCGGGAUUUCACACUGAAGCUGAAGUUAAAUGGGGAAGACAUCACAAGUGAUGGGUACCUGGAGAAUGCCCUGAAGCUGAUCCCAGAUAACAAUCCCAGAAUGCAAGCAUCCAAUUUGGCCAGGGAAUGCAUCAGACGUUUCUUUCCAAAUCGGAAGUGUUUUGUCUUUGACCGGCCAACUUAUGACAUAGAACUCCUACAAAAACUUGAGACCAUCUCAGAAGACCAACUGGAUCCUAUGUUUCAGGAAAGAACAAAGGCUUUUGUCUCUUACAUCUUCAAUUAUGCAAAGAUUAAGACCCUCAAAGAGGGAAUUAAGGUCACCGGGAAUGGACUGGGUAUUCUAGUGACAACCUAUGUGGAUGCCAUCAACAGUGGAGCAGUGCCUUGUCUGCAUGAUGCUGUGACAACUCUGGCCCAGCGUGAGAACUCAGUAGCUGUGCAGAAGGCAGCUGACCACUACAGUGAGCAGAUGGCCCAGCGACUGAGGCUUCCCACAGAAACGCUCCAGGAGCUGCUGGAUGUGCAUGCAGCCUGUGAGAAGGAAGCCAUGGCUGUCUUCAUGGAGCAUUCCUUCAAGGACGAAAAUCAGCAAUUCCUGAAGAAGCUGGUGGAAUUAAUAAGUGAGAAGAAUGGGCUUUUCCUGUUGAAGAAUGAAGAGGCAUCUGAUAAAUACUGCCAGGAAGAACUGGAUCGACUUUCAAAGGAUUUGAUGGACAAUAUCUCAACAUUUUCUGUUCCUGGGGGACACAGGCUCUACAUGGACAUGAGGGAGAAGAUUGAACAUGACUACUAGCAGGUUCCCAGGAAAGGGGUGAAGGCAAUUGAAGUCUUCCAGAGCUUUCUUCAGUCACAGGCCAUCAUUGAGAGUUCCAUCCUGCAGGCAGACACAGCCCUCAUUGCUGGGCAGAAGGCCAUUGCAGAGAAGUGCACCAACAAGGAGGCAGCUGAGAAGGAGCAGGAUCUGCUAAGACAGAAGCAGAAGGAGCAGCAGAAGUAUAUGGAGGCUCAAGAGAAAAGGAACAAGGAAAACCUAGAGCAACUGAGAAGGAAGCUGAUGCAGGAGAGAGAGCAGCUCAUCAAAGACCAUAACAUGAUGCUGGAGAAGCUAAUGAAGGAACAAAAGGCUCUCCUUGAGGAAGGCUAUAAGAAGAAAGCUGAGGAAAUGAGAAGAGAGAUCUAUCGACUGAGACAUAACAUCAAGGAUAUGAAACAAAACAGUGAUUUCUUUGUGGACAGUGCUGUAAGAGACCUUGCUUUAUUUCUUUCCUCUUUACUGAUUGAAAAGGCUAUAAAAGGCCUUAUUUCAUUCUUUAGGAGCAAAUGAGAGACUGUGAUAUAGUUUGUGUUAUUUGAAGCUGCCUGUUUUCCAUUUUCAUUCUGCAGAGAAGAUUAAACAUAAAAAGUGCUGAUUAGAGGGCAUCUGUGCCCCACACAGAAGACAUAGAACAGCUCCUACGUGUCUGCACAGACAAUGCUUGCCUUUAGAGAACACAUUUUGAAAACAUUCCUAUGGAAGCUAUGCAUUUAGUCAUUACAUGCGAUCACUGCUGGCCAAUUUAACUGAAAAUCGAAUAAGCUAGGAGACAAGGUUUUCUGUAUUCUUGUGAGGAUCAUUCAGCCCAGGAUAGGUUGUGCAGGAUUGUCUCAGGUUAAUAUGGUAGGGAACCCAUUCUGUGGGUGGGCAGCACUGUUCUUGUGGACUGAAGACACAGAGAAUGUUGAAAACAAAUCGCCCUACCACUUGUAGCUUCCUGACUAUGGAUGCCAUACAACAAGCCAGCCUCGACUUCUCUCAGAAUGCAUUCUCCAACCUUGACAGAAUGUAUCAUCAUGAUUCAUGGACCACAACAAACCCUUUCUUAAGUUGGUUUUGUGAGGGUAUUUCAUCAUAACAAUAGGAAAAGUCAUUGAUAUUAUAACUGUGAUAACCUGGAAACUACUUAAACAUCCCUGAGUUAGAUUGGCAACAAAUUUUUAUAUGGCUUGAUCUUGUAGUACUAUAUAGUGAAGAAACAAAUAUCAGUCAACCUAUCUGUAUAAUGAUCUAAAUUGAGCUAAAAUAUAUCUUAAAAAUAAAGUGAAAACACCA
This is an RNA transcript of Mus musculus (house mouse), 2712 nucleotides long. It is a transcript of the gene named guanylate binding protein 11, transcript variant 1, non-coding, with no coding region annotated. NCBI's taxonomy places the organism in Eukaryota, Metazoa, Chordata, Mammalia, Rodentia, Muridae. The transcript has 11 exons. The record is from RefSeq and is marked validated.